Non-coding RNA from Cricetulus griseus (Chinese hamster), 1057 nucleotides. Lineage: Eukaryota; Metazoa; Chordata; Mammalia; Rodentia; Cricetidae. The record is from RefSeq and is a predicted model, not a curated record.
CUUGUACCCUUCAAGCUCCAAGGCUCCAGUGUGCACUCUGCCCAUUUCCUGAUCUUCCCAGGUGACACUCCCCUCCCCCGACACUGAACAGAGAAAGCGUCCCGCCCACAGCCCACAGCCCACAGUCCUCUGCCUCUGAGACAGACAUGCAUGCACUGGGGACGUGAGUCACGGCAUUCACCCAUCUGAAGCUAUUAUUGGAAUGGCUGUGCACGCCGUGCACGCCUGCUUCCCGUAUUCUACAGGCCAGGGCUCCAGGAGCUGCUAACCACACACUGCUCUGCCCGAGAUGCCACUUGGAUGAUCACGAGGUGGUUGCUUGGAAAGGGUGAAUGCUUCCAAGAAAGCAGGUGUCUGUUUAGCAUUUUGUGGUUGGAAACACUGAACCAGAGCUGUAUAUUUGAGCAGGGAAAGGAUACUUCAACCCACCAGGAACAAAACUCAAAAACUACCAUGCAGCUUUCGACAAAUAUACACAACUGAUGACCGCAAUGGGUUCUCAUGUCAGUGGAAGCCAAAGAAGCAGAACCAAGAAAUAUGGGAGUGAAGAUUUGUCACUACAGCAGAUAAUUGCUGGGUGCUUGGAAGCCUGGUCACCAUCCACCUAAGGACUGACAGAAAGCAUCCCACCAGGAUCCAAGUGGACUUUUAGCCAGACAACAGCCAAGCUGAGCACUGAGAUUUCAGAAAAUGACCUCAAUGCCGGGCCUUUCAGGAAACUAUUGGAGGAUGUACUGACCAAAAUAGGAGAUAAACUAGGGAAGAGGAAGACAGGCUUUUAGGAAACAGGAGCCCACACAGGAAGGCGGUGAUGGGAAAUCCCAGGAUGAUGACGCAGGGAAGUCCCCAAACAACAGCUGUGCAACAAGCAUGAAGAAGCAGCCCACAGUGGAACCAUACAGAGGAUUCCAGAAAAAAACAAUAUUGGAACUCAACAGUUCCCAAUGCAUUUGAAGUUGUGAAAGGUUUAGUGGUGAUUAUAUAUAGCCACUGGAAGGCAUGGUAUAGAUUUUUUUUUUGUAAACUUGAUCAAAUAAAACAUUAGUUAAUGAUUUAA